CAGCCGCGGUAAUUCCAGCUCCAAUAGCGUAUAUUAAAGUUGUUGCAGUUAAAAAGCUCGUAGUUGAAUUUCGGGGUUAGUAGGUUGGUCAUGCCUCUGGUAUGUACUGAUCUCACUGAUUCCUCCUUCCUUAUGAACCGUAAUGCCAUUAAUUUGGUGUUGCGGGGAAUUUGGACUGUUACUUUGAAAAAAUUAGAGUGUUUAAAGCAGGCUAACGCUUGAAUACAUUAGCAUGGAAUAAUGAAAUAGGACGUUCGAUCUUAUUUUUGUUGGUUUUCUAGGAUUGACGUAAUGAUUAAUAGGGAUAGUUGGGGGGCAUUAGUAUUCAAUUGUCAGAGGUGAAAUUCUUGGAUUUAUUGAAGACUAACUACUGCGAAAGCAUUUUGCCAAGGAUGUUUCAUUAAUCAAGAACGAAGUUAGGGAUCGAAGACGAUCAGAUACGUCGUAGUCUUAACCAUAAACUAUGCCGACUAGGGAUCGGAUGAUGUUAAUUUUAUAAUGACUCAUUCGGCGCCUUACGGGAAAC
RNAcentral lists this ribosomal RNA (526 nucleotides) under uncultured Glomeromycotina. Its description in RNAcentral is "SSU rRNA". It matches the Rfam family "Eukaryotic small subunit ribosomal RNA", at positions 571 to 1098 of the family's 1831-position model. Lineage: Eukaryota; Fungi; Glomeromycota. The record is from RNAcentral.